AAAAAAUCGCACUGGCAAAACACACAGUAUACACAACACAGGCCAGGCGGAUUCACAGACUAUUGCAUGGGUGACUGAUGGUGGUGGUUAGCAGUGUGGGUGCAACAGUCUCCAUUGCGACUGGUAGCCAUCAAUCGAAGUGGUGUCCAUCUUGGGGCCCUCUCGCCCCUAUAUAUUACACGGAAAAUUCUAAUCCUGCAAAUUUCACGCCAAAAACAUGUUGGACUAAUAUUCACGAAACUGAAUUCUAUUAAAUAAUGUGCGGUGAGUUAUAAAAUGGAGGAUAAACUAUAAAAGUUUUUUAAUAAAUAUAGUUAAAACAUGUCUAAAGUUUAUUUAUUCCGUAUUCUUUAUUUACAGUAGUAUAGAGAGGAAUUAAUUUUUUGAAUGUUUUGUCCAAUUACCGAAAAGGUAUUAAUUUUUAUGCUCUAAAUAUUAUAUUGAAUCUAAAUGUUAAAUUAAGAAUUGUAACAUCUACAUUUUGUAAUUUAGAAAAUAUAAUCAUUAACGGAUGCAGCUAAGAAAAAGUAUUAAAUUAUGGAAAAUGUAAUCACUAAAUGAUUGAAAAUAUUAUUAUUAUUAUUAUUAAGCUUUCAUGAAUCAAAGUUAUAUAUUAUUUGUAGUUUCAAUCUCUGCAUAAAGUUUGAAAAAUCAAUCAGGGGUAAUCGCGCGCAGGUCUAUGGAAAAACGGGUAUUGUCAGGGAAUUUCAAAAUAGAAAAACUGUGUCAAUCAAUGUAAACUUAAUUUAAAAGUAAAAAAAUUUACUUUUACCAAGUUUGAGUUUUAAAUACAUGCUAAAUAUACUUUUUUUUCUAUAGAAAAAAAAAAAAGUUUAAAUGAUUUAUUGGAAUUUUUUUUCAAUGAGAACUGAGAUAUAUUAAAGUUCAAGUUUUUUAUAUUCAACUUUUUAAUUAAAGUGACAAUAAAAUAAAUUUACAAAGAGUAAAAAGUGCAUUAUAUGUUUAACGCUCCUGUUCCCACUAUAUAUUAUUCGCAUAUACAUAAAAACAAAUUUUCAAAGAAAAUGAUUUUGGAAAAUUAUAUAGGUAAACAUAUUAUAUGUUUUUCAUUUUCUAUAGGCAAGCGUUCCUCUGAUGCGCGUAUAAUAUUUUUGAUCCCUUUCAAUUUUUUUAUAAUAAUAAUUUAUUUUUAAUUCUGUACAUUAGGGUUGUUCUUCAGAACUGAAUUAAAGAAAUAUAUGGGGUAAAAUUCAUCAACUGCCUAGGUAAAAAAAAAUGUUGUUAAAUUUUUUCAAAGUUUUGCCAAAAUAAUGUUACUAUUUUUUUUAAUAAAAAUGUAAAUAUAAAUUAUUAUUGAAUCUGAUGAAAUAUUUUUCAAGUUGCAGAGUUUAAAAAUUUUGACUUUUUGGAAUACAUUAAUUUUUUUUUUCGAUUUCAAUUGUAUAUAUUGUCAAGUUAAAUUAAUCAAAUUAAAAAUGUUAAUUGAUUUUUAAAGGGUUUUUCACGAGCUGCAAGCUGGUGAUGAAAUAAAUUUUUUUUUUCAAUUUGACCUUGAAAUUGAAGGUCAAAUUCUUAAUUUCAAUAUAUUUCAAAAUCGGUUUUUUUUGUAACCUAUAUAAGGUUAAAGAACCAGUACUUGGACAUUACAAAAAAUGGAACCAAAUACAAAUUUAGAGAGUAACAAAAAGAAUUAAAACUGCUUCCAAUGUAAAUGAAAAAAUAAUAUAGGCUUUUUCUGAAUGUUAGUUUUUGCGGAUAUAAUUCUCAAGUUUUCAAUUUCUAAACCAAAAAAUUAUACGUCACAAACUACUCAAAAUCGAGUGUCCAAAUUUACCUUCUGCUUUUUAACCUUAAGCACCAGCAGCACCAGUAUAUAGUUGGACAAAAACUUUACAGGCAUUAAUCUAAUAAAAUAAUGAAUGAAUUAAUAUAAAAUGACCAACUAAUAAAUUUAAUAGUUGACAACAUGAUUUAAUAUCGAGGAGCAAACAACUAAGGAUUUUGGUGUAUACCUAAUACAAUAAUUCAGGAUAAUUCAGGUAAUUCAAGAUAAGUCAAGGUAAUUCACAGUAAUUCACGGUAAUUCAGGAUAAUUCAACACAAGUGUACACCAUAAUUCAUUAGUUGUUUGCCCCUCGACUAAUAUACAAAUACAAACAUUAUAUGCAAAUAAAUAUUAUGCGUAUUUUCUUAUAUAUGUCCAGUUACUGGACCCCCUAAAAUGGCAUGUCCAUAACUACAUAUUACGGUAAAGAAGCAAUUAUUAUUUAUUUUCUAGAUUUACAUUCAACUAAAAUAAAAAUUUAGACUAAUUUCUUUUAAUUUUAAUCCUUUAAUCAUAGUACAAACGAAAUAGAACAAUUUUGUCAAGUAAAACUAUAUUAUAUCUUUGUAAAAGUGUUUGCUAAAUUUGCUACAAUUUUAAAACUGUCCAAGUACUGGUGCUUUUACCUUAUACCAUAAUGGAAAGUUUACCUUUUUUCCUAUAUGAGCCACG
Molecule: long non-coding RNA, 2458 nt
Organism: Leptopilina heterotoma
Lineage: Eukaryota; Metazoa; Arthropoda; Insecta; Hymenoptera; Figitidae
Exons: 2
Source: RefSeq, a predicted model, not a curated record